This 218-nucleotide ribosomal RNA is filed under the name uncultured bacterium. RNAcentral's name for it is "partial 16S ribosomal RNA". It matches the Rfam family "Bacterial small subunit ribosomal RNA", at positions 30 to 247 of the family's 1533-position model. The record is from RNAcentral.
AUUGAACGCUGGCGGCAUGCCUUACACAUGCAAGUCGAACGGCAGCACGGGGGCAACCCUGGUGGCGAGUGGCGAACGGGUGAGUAACAUAUCGGAACGUGCCCUGGAGUGGGGGAGUAACUAGUCGAAAGACUAGCUAAUACCGCAUACGAUCUACGGAUGAAAGUGGGGGAUCGCAAGACCUCAUGCUCGUGGAGCGGCCGAUAUCUGAUUAGCUA